UUUUGAAUUCCAACAGUCGAGAAGAGACUGAUCCCCGUCUGCUGAUUUAAAUUGAUGGUCUGACGGAAAUAUUAUUGUGCAGAUUUACACUAAAACACGAAACAGCCUGAACCGCGACAGUGUCACAAGUUGCCUUACAUUGGAAUCAGUAAAGCCAACUCCGACUAUAGUUGAAGCUUCAAACCCCUCCAUGCAAAAAGAGCCAGCAUUAAUAUGGAGGGUGUCAACAUUGUGAGCGCAGAAAUGGAUGUGAUGGAGGCAAUGGAGUGCCUCUUUGCUACUUAUUUCGUAUUCAGUGUGGAAUACCCCAAGCACAUCACUCACACGAUGAAUUUUGUUGAGCACUACCUGUUUAAACUCUCCUGCAGCCAAAAAAAAAACUGUCUGUCCAAGUGCUCAAAAUGUAUAAUCAAUUAUCAUAAUACUUAGAUAUGUCAUGAAUAGUGCUAAUGUACAUUUGUAAAUAUGAGGCGAUUGAUGUUAUUCUGAAAUGCUGAUCUGAAUUUGAAUCUGUAAUUACAAUUCUUUA
Cyprinus carpio (common carp) is the source of this 529-nucleotide long non-coding RNA. RefSeq lists it as uncharacterized. The record is from RefSeq and is a predicted model, not a curated record. The transcript is spliced from 3 exons. NCBI's taxonomy places the organism in Eukaryota, Metazoa, Chordata, Actinopteri, Cypriniformes, Cyprinidae.